Long non-coding RNA from Macadamia integrifolia, 942 nucleotides. RefSeq lists it as uncharacterized. The record is from RefSeq and is a predicted model, not a curated record. Lineage: Eukaryota; Viridiplantae; Streptophyta; Magnoliopsida; Proteales; Proteaceae. The transcript has 2 exons.
AUCUAUUAGGUAGUUUUUAUUUCAUGCAAUUGAGUUUCUAAGUAUCUUUUUAUUUUUGGAAGUUUAUUCUCUUUAAGUGUAAGGCCAUUGGCCAUUGUUUAUUUUCAAUUUAAUGAAGAAUAUUGAAAACAAGAAUAAACCCCCAACCCCUCACGGUUCUCUCUCUCUCUCGUUCUCUCAUCUUUCUCUCUCGCCUCUUUCCUCCCUUACUCUCUCGGCUCUCUCUUCUCUCAAUCUUCUUGUCUCCUCCCUCUCUUUCUUUUCAGUCUUAUCUCUUUUUUUUUCUGCUGCUGUGUUGUUACUACUGCACCUGCUACCUUACCUCACUGCUGCUGCAACACAUUACUGGCGUUACAAAAUUGCUGCUGCUGCACCUGCUGCCUUACCUCACUGCUGCUGCAACAUAUUCCUGCUGUUAUAAAAUUGCUGCUGCAACAUAUUUCUGCCGGUACAAAAUUGCUCUGCUGCACACUGCUGCCUUUACACCACUGCUGCUACUCUCUCUACAAUUGGCUGGAUGUAUCUUCUUCAACAAAAAGUGGACUACAACCUCUUUAUUUUGGAGAACCUGGAUUUCUUCUUCUCUCCUCAGAUCUGAAUAGCAGUAUGAUAAGGGAUUCAGAUAGUCAGACUGAUGGUGUUCCAAAAGAUUGGGUCUCAUGUUUCUUGUGCCUUUCCGAAGAGAAUCAGUGAAAGAAAAUUAUCACCAUUCAAAUUGUAUGAUUUCCUUUUCAGAAGAGUUUUCAAUAAGGACAAGAGAAACAGAUGUUUUGAGGUCGUAGAGCACACUUGUAAAAGGUAGUGUCUCAUAUCUAUUUUAACAAAGGUUUUGUAUUAUUCUACCACCACAUAGAAAUGUUCACUUUAUGAAUGAUCUAGGAAUUGUAAUUCUUCGGCAUUUCUGGAAGUUUAUAUGUUGGGAAAUUGAGUCUUGUUAGACCA